GACCUGGGUGGAGGGCUAGGUGCCCCCAGCAGGAGUGAGAGCUCCUCUGUGCCCACACAG
This 60-nucleotide microRNA precursor is filed under the name Ictidomys tridecemlineatus (thirteen-lined ground squirrel). RNAcentral's name for it is "miRNA (ENSSTOG00000029629.1)". The record is from RNAcentral. Lineage: Eukaryota; Metazoa; Chordata; Mammalia; Rodentia; Sciuridae.